UACGUAGGGUGCAAGCGUUGUCCGAAAUUAUUGGGCGUAAAGAGCUCGUAGGCGGUCUGUCGCGUCGGCUGUGAAAACUCGGGGCUCAACCCCGAGCCUGCAGUCGAUACGGGCAGACUAGAGUCCGGCAGGGGAGACUGGAAUUCCUGGUGUAGCGGUGAAAUGCGCAGAUAUCAGGAGGAACACCGGUGGCGAAGGCGGGUCUCUGGGCCGGAACUGACGCUGAGGAGCGAAAGCGUGGGGAGCGAACAGG
RNAcentral lists this ribosomal RNA (253 nucleotides) under uncultured bacterium. RNAcentral describes it as "partial 16S ribosomal RNA". It matches the Rfam family "Bacterial small subunit ribosomal RNA", at positions 524 to 776 of the family's 1533-position model. The record is from RNAcentral.